This 30-nucleotide non-coding RNA is filed under the name Mus musculus (house mouse). Lineage: Eukaryota; Metazoa; Chordata; Mammalia; Rodentia; Muridae. The record is from RNAcentral. RNAcentral also lists the same sequence under 1 other name.
UCUCCUUUUGGACAUGCUUUUCUUGGGAGA